UACGGAGGGUGCAAGCGUUAUCCGGAUUUACUGGGUUUAAAGGGUGCGCAGGCGGUAAUUUAAGUCAGUGGUGAAAGCCUACAGCUCAACUGUAGAACUGCCAUUGAUACUGGAUUACUUGAGUAUGGUAGAGGUAGGCGGAAUACAACAUGUAGCGGUGAAAUGCAUAGAUAUGUUGUAGAACACCGAUUGCGAAAGGC
RNAcentral lists this ribosomal RNA (200 nucleotides) under uncultured bacterium. RNAcentral's name for it is "partial 16S ribosomal RNA". It matches the Rfam family "Bacterial small subunit ribosomal RNA", at positions 524 to 722 of the family's 1533-position model. The record is from RNAcentral.